GUCCUGACCUGCCCACUUGUCAGCAAGAGAAUUGGAAAUGGUUUGGGGGUGUCCUAUCUGAGUGAACAUUGGACACCACGGUUUUCAGUACAACA
RNAcentral lists this non-coding RNA (95 nucleotides) under Cavia porcellus (domestic guinea pig). RNAcentral describes it as "Small Cajal body specific RNA 23 (ENSCPOG00000028703.2)". It matches the Rfam family "Small Cajal body specific RNA 23", at positions 32 to 125 of the family's 125-position model. From Rfam's summary of the family: scaRNAs are a specific class of small nuclear RNAs which localise to the Cajal bodies and guide the modification of RNA polymerase II transcribed spliceosomal RNAs U1, U2, U4, U5 and U12. Lineage: Eukaryota; Metazoa; Chordata; Mammalia; Rodentia; Caviidae. The record is from RNAcentral.